This 19017-nucleotide long non-coding RNA is filed under the name Jatropha curcas. RNAcentral's name for it is "long non-coding RNA (JCUR_LNC001179)". Lineage: Eukaryota; Viridiplantae; Streptophyta; Magnoliopsida; Malpighiales; Euphorbiaceae. The record is from RNAcentral.
UCCAAAUUGUCAAUUUCCCAUUCUGUUAAAGCUCAUACAGUUCACACGCAGUCCCAUUGCGGUCACUCGCCGCCGUUUGGUUCGAAGUCAUGGCCUUUUCCGGUUGCCUAUCACCGGCAGUUAUGAUCAUUGACUCUAAAAAAAAAAAAAAUUGAAAGUUCCAAAUGAGCUGAAUUAAAAAAGAACUGAUCGAGAAAAAAGCAAAAAGCUGAAACGAGAGGGAGAUAAUUAAGGAGGAGGCUCAGAUCCGGAUACUAUAUGAUCAGGCAAGAGAAAGGUGAAGCACUACCGCCAUGGCUGCGACAACCGGUUGCCAGCGAAAAUGGUCGUUUUCAUCGGCCAUCCGGGUCGCCCCGCCGAUAAGAAGCGGGUACUUUCGCCAUUUGUUGCCUAAUUGGACACUCUGGAAAAGAACGUAUCAUCACAGCCUUAUAUGUAUGUGUCUGCAUCAGAAAGGGAAUGAUAAAGAAAAAGAAAAGAAGAGAACACUUUGUAUGGAGAGAGAGAGAGAUUGGACCGAUGAAAUCAUCGGCCCCGAUAAGAGCCUCAUUCGUUUUCCAGUCAGUGUCAAAACCCUAGGUUGGUCUCUGCUCUUUGUUUAGAGGGGGCUUGGUUUUCCAAUCUUCCGUUUUUGCCCUCUGGUGGUUGGCUUUGGGCUUCUGGCUUUUUAGUCGUUAAUGGAUAUUGGAUAUGGAAGGAAUCUUUUGAGUAAUUUUCGUACGAUUAAGUGCACGUCUCAGUUAAACUUAAUUGCAAUAUAUUAAUGAGAGGGUUUAAUUAAGUAUUAAGUCUUUGAACUUUUAUUUCUAUUAAAAUUAAGUCUUUAUUUUAUUUCUGCAACCAUGACAGUCAGUGGCCCGAACUAAAAAAAAUAAUUAGAGAGAGCAAAAAGAAAAUUUCAAAAUUGAGAGGUACGGUAUCAAAAGAAAUCAUUAUUUUAUAAAUAAAAAGUAAAAUUUUCUAUAUUUUAAAAGGUAAAUUUCAAAAAGAAAAAUUUAAAAUAAGGGGACAGCCGGCGGUAGCUCCACCACUGAUGACAUUGAAUAAAGUUCAAGGUUGACACUAAGUAUGGAUGUGCAAGAAAAUUGCUAUAACAGUUUAUAGCUCAGCAAAAUCGAAGCAUUGAAGGUGGUGAAAGUGGAGCAUGUGCGGUGGUUUGGAGUAUGAGAAGCAGUGAAAACUAAAAGGUAUAAGAAAUUGAAAUUGUGAAAGUUUAUUUUUCCCAAGUCCUAUUUUUAAUAUUUUAAUAACAGGCCUGAGUUAAUCGGGUCUGUGCGAAUUGAUCGGUUUAACAAUGGAUUAGCAGAAUUCAGUUCUUUCUUAUAUGGUUCAAAAGUAGACUCUGGUUUAUAAGGAAAAAAUUUGAAAUCAACGACAAAGUAGAAAUUCGAAAACAAUAAAUUUAUAAGGAAAAAAUUCCACAAAUGCAAAAAUAAACAAAAUCCUCUGGAAAUGGAAAAAAUUAUCAACUCCAUGAGCAAUUACACGCUUAUCUCUAUAUAUAUUCCAAUGCGUAAUCUUAACACCAUUAAUUGAAAAAUUAUCUAGAUCAUCAUAGUCAAAAUUAAUUUUAUGAACUAGAUUGGCUAGAAAGUAGAAAUUCGAAAACAAUAAAUUUAUAAGGAAAAAAUUCCACAAAUGCAAAAAUAAACAAAAUCCUCUGGAAAUGGAAAAAAUUAUCAACUCCAUGAGCAAUUACACGCUUAUCUCUAUAUAUAUUCCAAUGCGUAAUCUUAACACCAUUAAUUGAAAAAUUAUCUAGAUCAUCAUAGUCAAAAUUAAUUUUAUGAACUAGAUUGCAAAUAUUCGAUUCAACAGAUUCUUUGAAAGUGAAUCCUGAAUUAAAAACCUGUUGAUCAACUUUUGCAAGAACAAUUUGAUGGGCGAGAUCAAUCUGGUCCUGCAAAUCAAGAAUAGCUUCAUUUCGAGCAGCAAAGAAGGUGAUAGAAACGUUUUUUCUUACGCUAUGGCUGAGAGGGUCGCGACGAGCUCUGCGCUGGGUGUAGCAUUGGGUUAUUAAAUUGAAACCUGAAGCUUCAAGUGCUUUUGCCAUUAAAAGGUUGAGUGAAUCAUUUUCUUUUCCACCGUACAAUUUUAGGGAAAGUAUAUUUUACAUCAGUUAAGGCUCCAGUUUUGAGGAAAAAGUCGGUUACAGUUCUAGGAUUACGUUGCUGUGAUGCUUAAGAUGAGGAGGAGGAAGAAGAGAAGAAUGGAUUGGAUUGAAGCCAUUAAAAGAGAAACUGAAGAAGAAGAAGAAUAUAAACAAACUGAAUUGGCCACAUAAACAAACAGAGAAAUGGAGACAUUUGUUAAGUUAUUGACUGAAAAUCUUAAAACUUUUUCUUAGAAAAAAAAUCGAAAAUAAAAGGAAAUUAAAAAAUACAAGCACAAACGCGUAGCAGUUAACAAAUUUAUUUCCACUAAUUCUUUUGGAAUGGUAAAAAGAUGUAAAAUCUCUAAGGUCUCAAUUUGAGUGCAACUAUUUUUAUUCAUUCUAAUAAAACUUACUGUAACUUAUCAUCUGAAACUUUCUGUUAUGGACAUUGGCGCCCAGAGUGUCAUCCGCAUAGUGAAUUCUUUGACUGUACUUUUAACAAGGUUAUAUUAUAGGAGGUAAUGCUGUUACGGGAAUUAAAAUCUUCGAAAAAUUAACCCAAAGCGAUAAUUACUAAAUUAAUUCAUCACCAGUGGUAACCAUCUCCUUACUAUGAUCCCCACAUGCUAGUAUGGAUGAUCAAGCUACACAAGAUAUUCAUAGUUUAAAAGUUUGUUUAUUUCAUAGUUGAAGGUUAAAUGAGAGGUAAUGUUGUUAUGGGAAUUAAAACCUCCGAACAAUUUAUCUUUAAUAAACCAACAAAUUUGGGCGGAUAUGGAGUUAGAGGCCUACAGGUUAUAAAUGAUGCAGGAUUUGGAUGUGUUAAUCUCCAUUUUAAAAUUUUGUAUCCGGUCUAUUUGAAUUUGCUUCUUCUAAGUGGUGAUGAAAGCUGCGUCAAUGAAAACAUAACUCUAAUUCCUCAAUUCGGUAAUCAAUUCUUUUAUUGUAUUGGUAACAUGAUAAAUCCUCAUUACGGAUACAACGGAACAAUGUACUGGCACUACUAUAUGUAGUUCCAGUACAUUGCAUUCGUAUUGAGGAUCUAUCAUGUUACUAAUACAAUAAGAGAAUUGGUAACUAAAUGGAGGAAUUAAAGCUUAUGUCCUCAUAGCAGCACUAAUCAUCACUUGGAGGGAGAAGUCCAAAUACACUAAGUACAAAAACUUGGAGGGGAGGAUCAACCUUUUCAACACAUGCAAAUCCUACACCAUUUACAACCUACAGGUUUUUGAAUCCAUUUCUGCCCCAGUCUACUUGCGUUACUAAAGAUAAAUUUUUAGGAGGGUUUAAUUCCCAUAACAUCAUUAUAUCUCAUAUAACCUUGAACUAUGAAAAAAAAAAAAAAAAAAUGAGCUUUUGAACUAUGAACAUCUCGUGCAACUUGAUUGCUCGUACUAGCAUUUAGAUUGUAGUAAAGAGAUGAUAACAAAUGAUGAGAAUUAAUUUAGUAAUUAUGGAUUUGUGUUAAUUUGGUAAUGUCAGUGGUAAAAGUAAAUGUAAAAUUAAUGGUUAAUGUGAUGAAAACAAUCACUCAAAGAGAGAAAAUAAGUGUUAAGAAGAGCUUGACUAAAUUUCAUGUGAUUUAUGUAUAUAAUUGGACAUGUAAUGCUCUAUGUGAUCACAUUACAUGGAUGAAUUGUGCAGUUUAAAAAGCAAAACACUCACACUUUUGAGCAACCAAUUCUGAAUAUGCACAUUUCAAAUGCAAUACCUAAUUCAACUAAAAAAGGACAUUAUUAUUCGUAUGAUCAAAUUAGAAUAUUAUUGGUCAAUAUAAAUUAAUUGGUUACUUCAACAUUAACCUAAUUAAUUAAUUAAAAAAAAAUUUACGUGCUAUUCUUAUCAUCAUGUCAUUCAAUAACUUGUAAGAAAAAAAAUUCCAUAAAAAUGCAAAAAUAGACAAAAUAUUAUUAGAUUAUCAUGAAAAUCAAUUCUCUAGAAAUGAAAAAAAAGUUGUCAACUCCAUGAAUAAUUAUAUGAUCAUUUCUAUAUAUAUUACAAUCCGUAAUCUUAACACCAUUGAUUGAGUAAUUAUUUAAAUCAUGAUCGUCAAACUUAAGUUUAUUCACUCCAUUGCAAGGAACAAUUCAACAUAUCCACCAAAAAGAAUACCCAGAAUGGAAAACUUCUCGAUCAAUUUUAGCAUAAACAGUUUGAUAGGUAAGGUCAAUCUGGUCUUUAAAAUCAACAAUAGCUUCAUUUCGAGGAGCGAAAAUGGUGAUAGUAAGGUUGUCUGCACCAAGGCCGAGAUACUUAUGGUGAUCUCUUUGCUGAGUGCAGCAUUGAAUUAAAGGAUCUCUGGAUCAUUUUCGAUUGUUUUAAGUAUACGGGGGAGUCUGGGUUUAAACUGAGUUGGGACUCUAUAGAGAUAUGUUGGUGUGGAGCUUAAUAUGAGGAGAAAGAGAAGAAUGUAUUGAAUACAAGUCAUGCAGCUGAAUAAUAAUAAUAAUAAUAAUAAUAUUAUUAUUAUUAUUAUAUGUUUAUUUUGUUUACUGGGUUUUAUAAUUCUCAGACUCAUGGAAUUAGGAUUUGUGAUCAAAGACUCCCUAUUCGAUAUUCUAAAGGAUAUGCUGACGUUCAAUUGUCAAUUUAUAGAUAAUUUUAAAACUUUUUUUUUCCUUUUCAAAUAUAUAAUUGAUUUUCAGAAAUUUGUAUUAGUGGGAAUAAAACCCAUAAACUCAAGUGUACAUAAUUUGUUCACAGAAAUAAGUAAUGAUAACUAGUUAACAAGAAUCACAAUAAUGCAAUGAGAUUAAAACGAACAUGCAUUUUUUUUUUUUUUUUCUGUCAGUGGUAAGAGUUAUUUUUUAAAAUUCUUCAACUUAGGAUUUUAUUUUAUUUUUUUCCAUUCUAUAUUUCAGGAAUCAAAAACAUUGUUAGUAAUUCUCAAUAAAUACCUCAAUAGAUGAAUCCCGCGCGUAUAUGAACAUCAAACUAGCUAAAGAACAUCAAAAUGUUGUUUCUUUUCCAAAUAGUAUCUAAAAUGGUGUUUUUUUUCAUAAUGCUAAGUAGAUUCUAACCAAAGGAUAGCAUUUUCCAUUGGUGGAAGUGCAAGGGCCAUGGAGAAUUCACAAGAGAAAUUUCUUGCAGUAAACUGACAGCUAAUUCAAGACAGGCUAAGAUAAUAAGAUCAUUCCAUUAUGAUGCUAUGUUGCCACAUUUGAAUAAUAUAUGCUCUUCUUCUAUUGAGGUUAUAUCUCCAUUGACAGAAACCCAAGUUUCUGCAAUUUUGUCCACUGUCCCUUCAAGAAUCUCAACCAAAGUAAAUCCUCGCCAUGUCCCUCUAGAGUCCGUUGAGCUUCUGUCGUCACCGCUGAUUCUUUUAACUCUGGGAACAAUAGCCCCAUUCAGGUAUAUAGUCUUGUCACUGCCAACCACAAGCAUUUUUCGUAGACCAUUUCCAUAUGCCAGCUCUUUAUGCAUAUGGCCGAACACAAUCAGAGGGAUAUUCAAACUGGUCUUCUCCUUUAAGUGGGAAAUUGCUUGAGCUAGAUCUGUACCAGAGGAUGAGGAUGUUCUUGUAAAUAUAAUGGGGUGAACAUUUAUUCUAUAUUAUAGACAAAUACAUUGCAUCUUAUAACACAUUUUUGGUUUUGUUCCCUAUGCAUAUCUAAUGACUUCAUGCUCCUUUUAAGUUGCUAAUCAUUUAAGGCUAAACUAAUUAUACAUAACAAUCACAUCAAUGCCCAGAAUGAAUUGUAUUGCAUGGUGCACUAAUUUAGUGAAUUAACAAAGCUGAGACACCUAUAAAAGCACAUGAAUUCAAAAAAGUUACCUGGAUCACCAUAAUCACCGCCGCCAAACACCCAAUCUUUUCCACAAAUGUCGUUCAAAUUAGAACCAAGACCUGAAAAAAGGCAAUUAAGGCCAAAAAUAGAUAUCAAUAAAAGCUAACAUUUUGUCGUGAAUUUUGGCCAGCUGAUCACCUGUGGGCCCAUUAUGUGCGAGCAAUAUAAGUAGAUGGUCUUCUGGAGUGCCCAAAGCGGUAUGAUAGAUUCUCAUGGCACUUCCAUCCAUGUCCUGGACUCCAUAUCUGAGAGAGUAUUCCAAUUUUAGAAAGUUGCAGAAUGAGCAAUAAAAUCAAGCAACAGACUACAUGGAAAAGAAAUUAAAGAAAAAAAGAUUCAAUAUUAGCUAAUCCAUUCAUUCAUUUGAAAUCUAACUCGGGUCUAGUGAAGUCACACGAAUUUGAAUUGCAAAGAAACAUGAUUAAAUUUUGUGAUUUUAAUAUCAAGGCAAAUACUAAGCAAGAUAUAGGAGAGCAAGUCACUGCUGAAUUUGUUUCUUUGAAAAAUAAGAAAGAAAACAUGAAGAACUGUGACAUUUAAAGAUUAAAAUGCCAUAAACCUUCAUUCUUUUCGGGUUUUAUAAGUAGACAUGAAAAGUCCACAAUAAUGAAUGGAAAGAAAACAAAGAAUAAUCGAAUUUUGGAAUUUACUUCAACCAAUACAAACCUUGCAGACAGAAGUUUAUUCCGAAAUAGCUGCUCACCACCACAUGAAAAUGGCCGUCCACCAACAACACUAAGUUUAAGCUCAGGGAAAUCCAAACGUUUGUAACCUACAUGUUCUUUGCCAAGACUGACCAUUUCCAAAAAGGUAUUUCAUUCAACAAAUAAAUUACUUCAGAGUAGAGUCCCAGCAUGAUGUGCAAUGUGCUGGAGGAGAUGUAUUGAAACAGUUCUAUAUCUUUCUAUCACUAUAUUAUAUAUUGCAUGCACGCAAUUUGUAAUGAAAGUGAUAUUGAAGGCCAUAUAUAAAUGACUCAAAUACGAGUAGAUGCAUAUAUGCAAUAUCCUCUCAUUAUUUGAGAUAUUUUUUUUAUUUAAUUUUUCAUAGAAGAAAGGAAUAGAUGAAUUAUUUGAAAUAUACAUGACUUACACUCUGUAUGGAAAAAAUAUCCAGUCCAAAGGAAUAAUAACAGUUCACAGAUAUUAUAAAACCUUUCCAAGUCAAUUUACCGUUCCCCCUUUCUUCUCUCUCUACCCUUCCUUCUACAUAGCCAGUUUCAUAUUCAAUACCAACUGUCUAAGUAGGAAGCGGAUAACAAUACUCCAAUAACACCAAAGAAAUGAAUGAAACAGUAAUCCUACAUGAUUCUUAAUGCUGACAUGUCAAGCAAUAUAAAGAAAGAGAUACUAUAAGCAUAAAGAUAAGAGCAAAAUUGGAAUAUUUUUAGAUGUAAACAUCUACUUCAUGCUAAUGAAGCUAUAAAAAGCAGCAUAUAGAACAUUUGCGUUGCUCAGGGACAAGAUAAGCUCACCAAUCCAGCUGAAGUUGAACACCAUCCUUUGUCCUAAUAUUCAAAUAAAAAUAAUAAUAAUGUAGAAUGAAUUAACUUUAUGUCAGGAAUAUGAAAACAUACUCCUAUGGCCUAUUUUACAAAACUCAGAGAAUAAGGCUAGCUAUCUGCAAUAUAUCACAUAAACACAAGUACAAACAAGAAAUAUACUCUUAUAAAAAAUUUCAAACAACUUGGGAACUUCCUUUGUUUUUCUUUCUUUCUUUAUUCAGAUUACCCGAUUAACAUUGCAUAAAAGAACUGAAACGGCUGUUUAUAUUAUUAACAUCGCACAUAAGAACUGAAACAACUGUUUAUUAUAUUUAACAGUACCAGUCCCCAUAAAUUUAAAAAAGAAAAUUGCCCAAAGCAUAGAACAAACAACUCAUUUUAAUACAUAGAACCAAUGAAUUAGAUGCAAUUAUAAAGUGGGCUGCAGCAAUACACACUUACUUUUGAGAGAACUUCUGAGUAUACCAGGAAUCAUGAUUUCCCAAAAUAACUGCUUUAGGAAAUUUAAGAUCUGCAACACUUUGGACGAGCUCUACAUUCUCAUUACCAAAAUCACCUAAACAAGGCCCAAGGAGAGGGGAGGACAAGAAAACAAGAAAAAAAGGCCAACAAGCCUAAUAGGUUAGAUUUAACAUUUUACUAGUAAUGUUGCAAACGCAUACUCAGAAUGACUGGUCAUGGUACAUAUUAGGCUGAUUUUCAUAAGUCUAAUGAACAUGUAUAUAGUGCAUCUGCAUGCACUAUGUGUCAAUAUGAACUGAAAAUUGUUGGUGUCCCACAUGGAACCAGAUCCCUUUUAAAUAUUUCCUUGAUAUUUGGCUUGUCAGUGAAGACAGUCAAAAAGGGUUGUGAAGGCACCGUGUAUGAAUUAAAUGAGGACCAGCCAAAGACACCGUACAGGUAAAAGGUGAUUGAGAAGAAAACCUGCCUGUAAACAGCACCAAAUCCAGCUGCAUAAUGCAACAUAUAUUAGGUAGGUAGAGGAUAGCUAUGCACAAAAAUAAUAGGAAAUGCUCACGGAAAAUCUAAAAGAAAAUUGAGAGAAAAAAAAUGGCUGCUUAAAGGCAACAACACCAAGCUAUAAAGAGUUUGUUGACCCACAACAACUUAAUCUUACAUGGAAUUUUUACUAAAAUCAAUUUUUAGAAUUGUGAAAUGAAUCUCAAGAUGGACUCCCAAAGUUAGCUAAACUCAAAUAGGCACUACAAAAAGCUUGAAUAGUCCAUGGCCCAAAUAAGCACAUAGCAACCUCAACUUAAACUCAAUGUCAGUCCUGCUUAUUUACAUCCUUAAUGCAGGAUUGUUCACCUGUGUUACAUUUUACCUACACCAAUAUUUUUAAAUAUGAUAUGUAUGCAUAUGUGAGUGUCUUUAGUUCCAGCAGAAACUAUCCUUCAAUGCAGAAAAAGAGAAAUACAAGAAAAGGGACACUAUGAUGAGCAUCAACUUAAUUAAGGGUGUCUUUUGCAUGCCAAAGUUUAGUGGUUUUAACUGAUACAGACAACCCAAUAUAAUGUCGGCAUAACCACCUGUGUCUCUUGAUUGCAAUUGGGAGAAGCAAUGGUUGGCACCAGCAUCAAGUUCAUAGAAACCCUACAUUGAAAUUCUGUACUUUCAAUGUGGGAUCCAAGUCCCAUAAAUUAUAAUUGGGAUAAUAACAUCCAAUCUUUUUCUUCUCUUGGAUCCAUGGAUCAGGCCCACCAAAGUACGGCCAUCCAUUACCGUCUUUGUCUAUUUCUCAUGACUCCCAAAUUCAUGUUCAACGAUGCCAUCUAAAUUCACUUUCCAUAGAUAUAUUGCAUUUUGGCCCAUUAAUGAACCCAAAAACUCUGCAAAACCUCUACAGAACACCUAAAAUGAAUUGUGACAGAUGACUCCUAUUUUCACAUUACAAAUCCCAAAAUCAGUGCAGAUGUUUUCUCCUCAAUUACAAGGAAAAUUACUUUUUAGUUAUGAACACGAAUAUAUAGAAUUAUAGAGUAAUAAACGCCCAUCCCCCCGACAGACAGACAGACAGACAGACACACACACACACACACACACACAAAAGCGAAGAGAAGUACCUGCAGAAGUUGAAGAGCCUUUGUAUCCUCUUCUAGAUUCCAAUCAUCAUGCUUCAAAAAAACCCCAGAAUUUUCAAAAAAAGAAACAUAAUUUGCUGAAUAAAAAUUUUCCAAAAAUGAAAUGAUUCCACAAUUAAAACUUAUAUUAAUCAAUUGCUAACCACACCAACAAAACCAAAGAUAGGGUUUCCAAGUUGAAAACGGAACACAUGCUUCGAAGAGCAAAUAAAUGCGAGAGAGAGAAACUCACUACGUCUCCGACGACAGCUACUCGAGCCGACGCCGACAUUGAAGAGCAAUGGGUGGUUCUCUUAGAGGAAAGGAAGGGGCGAGUAUGAAAAAAGCACGGAGUGGGCGCGUGAAGAAACGCGCUCAAGUUUGCCAUAACAUAACCUUCGCUUCCAAUUUGGCGCGCUAUUUUUACUGGCAAAUAAAGGAGUAGGUGGAACUUUAAGCCGUUAAACUAACACUAUUGCUGUCCACGUCACUGCCGUUCCGUGUAAAAUACUGUCAAAUGUCAUUCUCAAGCUAUGACUCAUUUUUCAAAAUUAAAUGGCAAAAAAAUAACAUGGUCAAAGAAAAAAAAAAAAGAUCAACCAAGAUGGAUUUGAGCAUGUGAUAUCAAAGCAUUUUUCAGCAUCCUUAUUGUUUCCUAAGUCAAAUUUUCAUCUUCUGUUAUUGUAACACGUCAAAAUGUCAAUAUGAAGCUCAAAUAUCUCAACCCAAAUUUCUCUAAGCUACAUCCAAGAUUUUCCGAAGGUGACAUCUUUUACUACAAAAUAAAUUGUUGACUAUAAAAUAAAUUGACUGUAAAAUUUUCGUUGUUUCAUCUUUAUCGGUCUUAAUCAAUACAUUGUUCACUCUAAAUAUAUAAAAAUAUAAAGAUGCACAUAUACACUCGUAGAGACAAUAUAAUAAAAUAUAAGAUUCUUAGAGCCAGUUAACUUUUAUAUAUAUAAUAUUUAUUUUAUAUUUUUAAAAGGAUAUUUUUUAUAUUUUUCAACUAUAUCUAAUUUGAUAUAUCUAAUUUUUACAUUUUACAUUAUUUUUACAUUGUUUGAUAUAUAAUUUUUCUAAGUUGAAAGAUUACGAAAUUAUAUCUAAAAUAUAUCUGUCAAAUAUCUGCCCUAUCCAAUUCUCUCAUUUAAAUAUUUUACAAAGAAACAAAAAAAAGAAACAGUUACGUGUCAGAAGACUUGAGCUAUCAUCAAAGUCAAAACAUAAAUAGGAAAUCAAGAACUUUUCUUCAACAAGAACCUAACAAGAACCUAAAUUCUCAGGCACAAAUUAACAGCUAAUAAGCAUAAGCUCUUUCUUUCUUCUUUCAUGGCUAUCAAAACCACCGUUGCCCUCCUAAUAUUUCUAAUCACUCUCAAUUUUCAUUUCUUGGAGGCAAAAGAUUGGAUCAAAGCAGCAUACUAUGAUUCAUCAAGUAACCUCCCUGCAUCUGAAGUAAAUUCUGCUCUUUUCACUCACAUUUUCUAUGCUUUUGUUGCUAUAAACACUUCCACUUACCAGCUUUCGUUCCCCUUCUCUACUGAAUCAUCUCUCUCAACUUUCACAGUUAACAUUAAACGAAACAACCCAUCUGUCAUUCCAGUUCUGUCAAUAGGACUCGGAUAUGGAGACUAUUCUCCAUUUUCUUCCAUGGUUAGCAAACCUUCUUAUAGGAAGUCUUUUAUCAAGUCUUCAAUGAAAAAAGCCAGGUUUUACGGAUUUGGUGGCCUGGACCUCUGUUGGGUAUGGCCUAACACAACAUCUGACAUGGAAAAUAUUGGAGUUCUUUUAGAUGAAUGGCGUGAAGCUAUAAAUUUUGAGUCAAGAAACAGCACUGUUACUUCUGAGCCAAAACUUAUCCUGACAAUGGCUAUUUAUCGCCAGCCAACUAUUGCCGAUACGAGUUUCCCAGUUGAAUCCAUGCAAAGAAACUUGGAUUGGGCAAAUCUUAUAGCAUAUGAUUAUCAUUUGCCUUUAAAAGAGAAUAUUACAGGUAAUCAUGCAGCUUUAUUUGAUCCUUUAGGUCAUAUUAGUACUGAUUCUGGUAUAAAGUAAUGAUUAAGGAGAGGAUUGACAUCAGAAAAGCUGGUUUUGGGUUUGCCUUAUCAUGGCUAUGCAUGGAAAUUAGUGAACUCAAAUGACAAGUACUCCAUUGGUGCACUAGCAUCAGGACCAGCGCUUACAAUGGAUGGUUCAAUAGGCUACAAGUUGAUCUUAAUUAUGGCUAUGGAGCCAUUUCAAGCUACAAUGCUACAUAUGUAGUUAACUACUUUAGCAUCAAAUCAAUUUGGAUCAAUUUUGAUGAUGUUGAGGUUAUUCAGACUAAAAUUUUAUAUGCUAAGACAAAGGGAUUGCUUGGGUACAAUGCUUUUCAGCUUGGAAACGAUGAUGAUAACUGGGAGCUUUCUCGAGCUGGUAUGGAAAUUGUUCAUCUAUUACCUAAGUUCUGUUUGAUACUUUUUGUUGAGAAAAGUAAUCAUAAAAGCUUGAAAGCAGCUAAAUAAUACUCUCCAACUACUUUUUCUAACAGCAUAAAAAAUUUUAUUUUUCUGAAGAAAUAGUUGCAAUCUCUAUGCCAGACACUCGUAUAUAUAUAUUUAUAUGCACUGGAAUGAGGUAUUUAAAUCAUUUCUGUAAGUUGUUUUGUGUAUCUUUCUAAUACCUGGAAUAAAUUGGCAGCUUAUGAGGUUGGUGAAGUUCAUGAAAGGAAAAAGCAUUUAUGGAUUAGAGUUUCAAUCCCAAUUGCAAUGAUUACUCUGCUGAUCCUACUUGGGUUUCUAUCAUAUUAUAUAAAAAGCAGAAAACUUGAAUCAAAAGGUAAAGAUUUUCUUAUUUUUGCCUACUUAGACUCCAUUGUUUUGCUUUCUUUAGAAAUAGGUAAAUAUCUAUGAACAUGAUUCUUGACAGCAUUUGGAUUCUCUCUGUGUUUUAUGUUUCAGGGAAACUGAGUUUUGGUGAUACAGCAGUUGAUGAAUAUCAGUACCAAAAUGCUCCAAAUUUGCAAAUAUUCAAGUUUUCUGAAAUCAAAGCAGCUACAGGCAACUUUUCAUGCGAAAAUAGGCUUGGAGAGGCGCUUACAAUGGAUGGUUCAAUAGGCUACAAGUUGAUCUUAAUUAUGGCUAUGGAGCCAUUUCAAGCUACAAUGCUACAUAUGUAGUUAACUACUUUAGCAUCAAAUCAAUUUGGAUCAAUUUUGAUGAUGUUGAGGUUAUUCAGACUAAAAUUUUAUAUGCUAAGACAAAGGGAUUGCUUGGGUACAAUGCUUUUCAGCUUGGAAACGAUGAUGAUAACUGGGAGCUUUCUCGAGCUGGUAUGGAAAUUGUUCAUCUAUUACCUAAGUUCUGUUUGAUACUUUUUGUUGAGAAAAGUAAUCAUAAAAGCUUGAAAGCAGCUAAAUAAUACUCUCCAACUACUUUUUCUAACAGCAUAAAAAAUUUUAUUUUUCUGAAGAAAUAGUUGCAAUCUCUAUGCCAGACACUCGUAUAUAUAUAUUUAUAUGCACUGGAAUGAGGUAUUUAAAUCAUUUCUGUAAGUUGUUUUGUGUAUCUUUCUAAUACCUGGAAUAAAUUGGCAGCUUAUGAGGUUGGUGAAGUUCAUGAAAGGAAAAAGCAUUUAUGGAUUAGAGUUUCAAUCCCAAUUGCAAUGAUUACUCUGCUGAUCCUACUUGGGUUUCUAUCAUAUUAUAUAAAAAGCAGAAAACUUGAAUCAAAAGGUAAAGAUUUUCUUAUUUUUGCCUACUUAGACUCCAUUGUUUUGCUUUCUUUAGAAAUAGGUAAAUAUCUAUGAACAUGAUUCUUGACAGCAUUUGGAUUCUCUCUGUGUUUUAUGUUUCAGGGAAACUGAGUUUUGGUGAUACAGCAGUUGAUGAAUAUCAGUACCAAAAUGCUCCAAAUUUGCAAAUAUUCAAGUUUUCUGAAAUCAAAGCAGCUACAGGCAACUUUUCAUGCGAAAAUAGGCUUGGAGAGGGUGGAUAUGGACCUGUUUACAAGGUGAAUUUCAACAAAUCCUUCAUUUUAGGUGCUUCUUAUAAGGUUAAUAAAACUAGUAACUAUAUAUAUGUAUAUAAAAAUGAACUUGGAAUGAAUAUAUUCAAAUUGCUAUGUAUUUGAAUCAUUGGGUGUAAGAAAAUUCCAUAUUGACUAUUUUGUUGGGCUUCGUCAGGGUAAACUUGCAAAGGGAGGGGAAAUAGCAGUGAAAAGGCUUUCAAAAACUUCACAUCAAGGAUUUAAGGAGUUCAUGAAUGAAGUUAAACUUACAGCAAAGCUGCAACAUGUUAAUCUAAUAAGGCUUUUGGGAUUUUGCACUGAUAGAGGAGAGAAAAUGUUGAUAUACGAGUACAUGCCCAACAAAAGCUUGGAUUUCUAUUUGUUUGGUAAGUGAUAUAUUAUUUAUUUCCCUAUUUGGUUCUCUCUCCAGAUUAGAAAUAAUAAAAGAAGCUUAGGCUCGUAACUCUGUUUUUGAUGCAGAUCAAAAGAGAAGAUUGGAAUUGAAUUUGGAACGACGCGUUCAUAUCAUUGAAGGGAUUGCUCAAGGGCUUAUGUACCUUCAAGAAUACUCAAAUUUGACAAUAAUUCAUAGAGAUAUUAAAGCUAGCAACAUUUUACUAGACGAUGAGAUGAAGCCAAAGAUUUCUGAUUUUGGUAUGGCAAGAAUUUUGCAGAAGGAGAGCAACGAAGCCAAGACAGGCCAGAUUGUUGGGACAUAGUAAGUAAAUUGCUUCUUGAAAAGCAAUGUAUUUGAUAUCAUCUAACAAUUACAUACAUACAUAUACCAGAAUCCUCUCCUUAACCAUCCCUUUAUACCAGAACCAACCCAAAUUUCUCUAAGCUACAUCCAAGAUUUUCUCUAAGCUACAUCAUUGACUGAACAAGUUUUGACUUUGAUGAUAGCUUAAGUCUUCUGACACGUAACUGUUUCUUUUUUUUGAUAUCAUCUAACAAUUACAUACAUACAUAUACCAGAAUCCUCUCCUUAACCAUCCCUUUAUACCAGAACCAACCCAAAUUUCUCUAAGCUACAUCCAAGAUUUUCCGAAGGUGACAUCUUUUACUACAAAAUAAAUUGUUGACUAUAAAAUAAAUUGACUGUAAAAUUUUCGUUGUUUCAUCUUUAUCGGUCUUAAUCAAUACAUUGUUCACUCUAAAUAUAUAAAAAUAUAAAGAUGCACAUAUACACUCGUAGAGACAAUAUAAUAAAAUAUAAAAUUCUUAGAGCCAGUUAACUUUUAUAUAUAUAAUAUUUAUUUUAUAUUUUUAAAAGGAUAUUUUUUAUAUUUUUCAACUAUAUCUAAUUUGAUAUAUCUAAUUUUUACAUUUUACAUUAUUUUUACAUUGUUUGAUAUAUAAUUUUUCUAAGUUGAAAGAUUACGAAAUUAUAUCUAAAAUAUAUCUGUCAAAUAUCUUACCUAUCCAAUUCUCUCAUUUAAAUAUUUUACAAAGAAACAAAAAAAAGAAACAGUUACGUGUCAGAAGACUUAAGCUAUCAUCAAAGUCAAAACUUGUUCAGUCAAUGAUGUAGCUUAGAGAAAAUCUUGGAUGUAGCUUAGAGAAAUUUGUUCAGUCAAUGAUGUGUCCAUUACCAAAAUGUUGCCCAGAUAACAUAGCUUUGCCUUCUUCAAUCGAAAUUGUAUAAACAGGCAUACAAUUGCAUUUUAGAGUAAACAAUUUCUAUUCCAUGGAUGCUACCAUUGCAAUAUAUUAAAACAUCACCUAUUAAUUAAUAUUUUAUUCCUUUUUUCAUUCUAAUUAACCCCUUCAUUUGCAUUUAGCAAACGUUAAUAUUUAAUAAACAUUGAUUUUUUAUCAUUAAAUAAUAGAAAUACAAACUAAUGAUAUCAACUGGAAUUAUAAUUAAUAACCACUAAAUAAUGAAAUUACAGUAAUGUGAUUAACUAAUUGAAUUGAAAUAUAAUACCAAUUUAUUAAAGUUUUGCCUUAUAAUUAAAUCUUUUUAUAUUUUAUUUAAUUAUAAAAAAUUAACAAAUUAAUAAACAUUUCAAUUGAAUAUAUGAAGUUUCUAAAGUAAAAAGGACAUAAUUUAAUUUAUAAACAUUUCAAAAUAUUUCAAUCUAUUAAUUAAAAAUUUCAAUUUAUUACUUGAAAGUUUCAAAACGGAUAUAAUUUCACAUUGUAUCAUUUAAUUAAAAUAAAUUAUUUAAAUUAAAUGAACAACAAUUUUCUAAAAACAUUUAUCCUUCCAAUUGUUUAAAAAAAAUAUAAAAUUACACAAUAUGCCAACGGAAAUUAUAUAAACAUACUACUACUAGUAGUAAACUCAAAACUCUAUUAAUCUGUAGUCUAGGAUUCAUUAGUUAACUACCAAAGUAAGGGCCAAAAAGAAAUUAUUAACAUUUUUCUCCAAUUAACCACUAAGAUGUUUUCAAUGAAAAAAAGGGAAAAAGAAAACAUUUGAAAAAAGAAAAUCCAGACCAAGAAACGUUUUGAGUCGAGGCUCAGAUCUUAUUGUGUCAAUCAGGAAGGUGACCAGAGCUAUGGCUGCAACAAAGAAACUAAGUGCGACUGAGAGAGUUGGAGCCAAAAUAAAUAAAUAAAUAAAUAAACAAAGGGAAAAUAAUUAUUUCGUCCAUGAGGUUCGAAGCAAACAUUGUGCAGCCAAAAACGUUAUUACCCUUUUGAGUGUCUGAUUUCACUGAUCAGAAACAUCAUCACUGCCUCAAAAACACAAAGCUAGAUAGGAGCAUUUUGGUCAUUGUACAAAUUUUCCUGUGAAACAAACAAGGCUUGAAGAGAAAGAUAAAAAGAAAACGAGGCUCGGAUCAGAUAUCCAAACAAUUGGACAAGAAAGAAACACCAUUAAACCAUGACUGCAAUUAAGGAAUGACAGAAAUUGAGAGAAACCUCAUUUUGCUUAUUUCCAAAGAUUGCCCCGCCAAGAUAAAUGGUUAUUUAUAUCUCAGCCUGAUUUUUGAUUACUGAUAUAUCAUCAUAGCCUCAUCAAAUAGACAUUAUGUAUAUUAUCUAUGUUGCAUGGAAACGGAAACGUAGGCGCGUGGAAACGCAGGAUCGGAAACGGACAACAUAUGAGAAAUAUCCAGUUUAAGAGGGGAACAAUGCUUCCAAAUUGCCCAAUUUACAGAAAUUGCCCCGAGGAGUUUCCAAACAUUUCAGUGCAACAUAGAAUAUUAUAGAUAAACAGAAUGCAGAGGAAGUUCAUUAAUUAAUUUAUUUAUUUUGUUUAAUGGCUGUUGCCAACAUAAAAAAAAUGAAAUCAUCGACUUAGCUAACAAUCGGACAGGAGGAGUCAACCACCCUGAAACCUGCCGCCUGCCUGAGAGCAAAGCCUCAUUCCCAAAUUAAUGAGAUACAAGUUUCCAAUAAACCAAACAAGGAGAGAGAGAGCAAGGGAUUUGGUAAAUUACAAGGCCCCAUUUGCAAAAUGAAAUUUCAAAUGAAUUUUCAUUUGCACCGAACAUGAAAAUCUAGAUUUGUAAAUGAAUUCCUUAAAAUUUUGUAGAACUCAUUUAAACCAAGAGGAACGACGGAUGGAAAUAAGCUACACUCAUACUAGUUAAGUUACUCCCACUGCCAAAAAUGACAGACGAGCACAAGUUCAUCUGGGAAAUAAACUCUAACCUGCCUUUUUUGAGAGUGGUAGGCUCAGAUUCGCCUUUGGUCAGACAGAAAAGAGAACAACAUAACCAUGGCUGCAACAAAAACAGGGAAAAAUCAAAGCUCAACGUUGCCUAGCCAAAGCUCUGUUUCUUACAACGUCUGUUUUCCACUAAAAAAAAAUCAUCACAGCCUCAUAAAAAGGAAAAGUUUCAGCAAACCACACAUAUACUUAACAGAGAUAGAGAAAUCUGAAGAAAGACAAGGCUCAGAUCAGAUAUGCCUUUGAAUCAGACAAGAAAGAAACAAUGGCAUCACUAUGGCUGCAACUCGCAAAGGCUGCCCCGCCAAGAAUGCUUCAUUUCUCUCGAAUCUGAUCUUUUGGGUCACUGAAUAUAUCAUCACAGCCUCAUUAUUAUUAUUAUUAUUAUUGUUGUUGUUGCAGCAUAUAUAUAUAUAUAUAUAUAUAGAGAGAGAGAGAGAGAGAGAGAGAGAGAGAGAGACACAGAAAGAUGUUUUAUUUUCCUUUUUCUUUCUUUUCCUUUUCUUCCUUUAGGGCUGUUGGUAAUCUAAGAAGUGAAAAAUCACAGGCUCCGCUACCGAUCAGAGAGGCGGAAGUCAACCACCCGGAAACCAUCAGCAUCUCUCUGAGAGCAAAACCUCAUUCUCAGCUGGAAUUUCCCCUACCAAAGAGAGAAAUACCUAGCUCUUCUCAUCUUUUCAUUUCUAAUUCUUUAUUUAUGGCGAUAUCACCUUGAUUUUAUUAUUCCAUGCUUAGCCUUCCUUUGUGCUGUAUUUAGUAGAAAACUGAGGGGUAUUAUUGCCAAUCUAUUAUCAUUAUUGCGAUUGGUAAAAAGGGCAUCAAAUGGAGGUCAAUUUUGUAAAAGAACCAAAGUACUCACAUUCAUCUUUUUACGAGACCGACACUGGCCUUGAUUCUACGCGUGUGCUUCAUGCGUGAGCGGGAGUGAUGGUUAUCGCUAUCUUGCAACAUAUCCGCGAAAAACAAUGCUCAUCUUUACGGUUUUUGAGGAUAAAUAUUAAAUUUAAUCCUUAACAGUUAAUUAAUUUUAAAAAUUCUAUAAAUUUAGUCACUUUUAUUAAAAAAUUAAAAUUUAUCUUUUCUUUUAUUAAAAAUAAUAAAUGUUAAAUAGAAAAAAAACUCAAAUAUAAAACAGGAAUAAAUAGCUUUAUCUUUUCUUUUCAAACAAAUUUCAACCCAAAAAAAAAAAAAAAAAUUUCAAUUAAAUAUUCUAUUAGUUUGAACUUAAAUUAUUAGAUCAGCUCCAGUCUGAUUAUUUUAAGUUUAACCGGAUAUCCAACCAAACAAUAAAAAAAUUAAUCAGUCCAAAUUGUCAAUUUCCCUUUCUGCAAAACUCCUACAGUUCACAUGCAGUCCCAUUGCGGUCACUCGCCGCCGUUUAGUUCGAAGUCAUGGCCUUUUCCGGUUGCCCAUCACCGGCAGUUAUGAUCAUUAACUGAAAAAAAAAAAAAAUUGGAAGUUCCAUAUGAGCUGAAUUAAAAAAGAACUGAUCGGGAAAAAAGCAAAAAGCUGAAACGAGAGGGAGAUAAUUAAGGAGGCUCAGAUCCGGAUACUAAAUGAUCAGGCAAGAGAAAGGUGAAGCACUACCGCCAUGGCUGCGACAACCGGUUGCCAGCGAAAAUGGUCUUUUUCAUUGGCCAUCCGGGUCGCCCCGCCACUAAGAAGCGGGUACUUUUGCCAUUUUUUGCCUGAUUGGACACUCUGGAAAGGAACGUAUCAUCACAGCCUUAUAUGUAUGCGUUUGUAUUAGAAAGGGAAUGAUAAAGAAAAAGAAAGGAAAAAAAAAAAAACAGAAGAGAACACUUUGUUUGGAGAGAGAGAGAGCGAGAGAGAGAUUGGACCGAUGAAAUCAUCGGCCCCGAUAAGAGCCUCAUUCGUUUUCCAGUCAGUGUCAAAACCCCAAGUUGGUCUCUGCUCUUUGUUUAUAGGGGGCUUGGUUUUCCAAUCUUCCGUUUUUGC